UUUUAACCGAACGGAUCGCGUUAUGGCUUCGGCCGGCGAUGGAUCAUUCAAGUUUCUGACCUAUCAGCUUUCGACGGUACUGUAUUGGACUACCGUGGCAGUGACGGGUAACGGGGAAUUAGGGUUCGAUUCCGGAGAGGGAGCCUGAGAAACGGCUACCACAUCUAAGGAAGGCAGCAGGCGCGCAAAUUACCCAAUCCUGAUUCAGGGAGGUAGUGACAAGAAAUAACAACACUGGAAAUUUCAUUUCUAGUGAUUGGAAUGAUGGGAAUCCAAACCCCUUUCAGAGUAACAAUUGGAGGGCAAGUCUGGUGCCAGCAGCCGCGGUAAUUCCAGCUCCAAUAGCGUAUAUUAAAGUUGUUGCAGUUAAAAAGCUCGUAGUUGGAUUUCUGCUGGAAGCAGCCAGUCCGCCCUUAGGGGUGUGUACGUGGUGAAAUUCCGGCAUCCUCCUGGUGGCGCUUCGCACUUAACUGGGUGGAGUGCUUUUCCAGGACUUUUACUUUGAGAAAAUUAGAGUGUUUCAAGCAGGCUUGUUGCCUUGAAUACUGCAGCAUGGAAUAAUAAGAUAGGAUUUCGGCA
This 579-nucleotide ribosomal RNA is filed under the name Isospora vulpina. RNAcentral describes it as "SSU rRNA". It matches the Rfam family "Eukaryotic small subunit ribosomal RNA", at positions 254 to 835 of the family's 1831-position model. The record is from RNAcentral. Lineage: Eukaryota; Apicomplexa; Conoidasida; Eucoccidiorida; Eimeriidae.